UGAGCUCAGUCUUGGCUCAUAUGAGAUCCUGCAAAAACAGUUGGGUAAAGCUGCUGUGUUGCUGCUGGCGAUAGAUGUUUCUGCCAGUGCGGUUAGAACGGGGCAGCCAGACCACAUUUGUAAGCAGAUUUGUUCUCAAUUGCAAGCUUUAAAUGGGCCCGAAGAAACUGUCCGAUCAGAGCUUCGAGUGGGUUUGAUGACCUAUGACAGCCGUAUCCAUCUGUAUAACCUGAGUCCAGCUCUGUCCCGCCCCCACAUGAUGGUCAUCACUGACUGUGAAGAGUUGGAACUUCCUGUGGGGGAGGGCCUUCUGGUGCCACUGAAAGACUGCAGACACAUACUUGAAAGGUUUUGACAUGGCAUUUGUUCUACUAAUUUAAUUAUCGUUAAAGCAAGAGGCAAAAGGUUAACAAUAGUUCUUUCUUCUUGGACAGAGUUCUACAGGAAAUUUCACUUUUCAACCCUGAA
Molecule: long non-coding RNA, 468 nt
Filed under: Sinocyclocheilus grahami
Lineage: Eukaryota; Metazoa; Chordata; Actinopteri; Cypriniformes; Cyprinidae
Description: lncRNA (ENSSGRG00000054371.1)
Source: RNAcentral